RNAcentral lists this ribosomal RNA (424 nucleotides) under uncultured bacterium. RNAcentral's name for it is "bacterial SSU rRNA". It matches the Rfam family "Bacterial small subunit ribosomal RNA", at positions 355 to 776 of the family's 1533-position model. The record is from RNAcentral.
UGAGGAAUAUUGGUCAAUGGGCGACAGCCUGAACCAGCCAUCCCGCGUGAAGGAAGACUGCCCUAUGGGUUGUAAACUUCUUUUCCGGAGGAAUAAAAUCUCGAACGUGUUCGGGACUGAAGGUACUCCGGGAAUAAGCAUCGGCUAACUCCGUGCCAGCAGCCGCGGUAAUACGGAGGAUGCGAGCGUUAUCCGGAUUUAUUGGGUUUAAAGGGUGCGUAGGCGGAUUAAUAAGUCAGUGGUGAAAACCUUCAGCUUAACUGGAGACUUGCCAUUGAUACUGUUAGUCUUGAGUACGGUCAAGGUAGGCGGAAUGUGUAAUGUAGCGGUGAAAUGCUUAGAUAUUACACAGAACACCGAUUGCGAAGGCAGCUUACUGGGCCGUUACUGACGCUGAUGCACGAAAGCGUGGGGAGCGAACAGG